This is a long non-coding RNA of Solea senegalensis (Senegalese sole), 1220 nucleotides long. RefSeq lists it as uncharacterized. The transcript has 2 exons. NCBI's taxonomy places the organism in Eukaryota, Metazoa, Chordata, Actinopteri, Pleuronectiformes, Soleidae. The record is from RefSeq and is a predicted model, not a curated record.
UCCCUGAACACGUUUACAGAAACGCCUUUCACCCAACAGGAAGUCGGCCAUUAUAAACAGGAAGUACCCUCUAACUUUGCGCAGGGACACUGCUGAAAAUAACUAGGACUGAAAAUAACUAGUACCGCAAAUUUCUCUUGUGUUUAUUACAGUUCCUGUUUUAAUGUUUCCUACUUUUCUUAAUCAGCUUUACAAAACUAAAUAAAACUUUUUUUUCUUUGGACCAGCUCUGCCUGCACUGGCCGACCUCCAGCUCGCCCCACUGGAGCAUCAGGAGGUGCAGGUGGCGUGGAAGGCCCAUCGAGAUGGAGUGAAAGGUUACUGGCUCAACUGGGAGAAAGGAAACUCCCCAAAAACCGCCUCAAAAUCCUCCUUCUUCCUGUCUCCUACGUCUCACUCAAUGCGGCUCUCACACUUUGGCCAGAGUGGCCGAGUGUGUGUGUCUCCAGUGUACAGCUCGGGACGAGGUGACGGAUUCUGCUGCGCAGCAAACAGUCACACAGAUUCCGGCCACUGGGGUAAACAGUGAGAGAGUCUGCAGAAUAACGCACGGAUGAAAUCGUGCUGGAUGCAUCAGAAUUGUUAUUUAUUCAGUGUAGUUUAGUUUUAAUGUAGAAAUAAAUUAUUAUGUCGGAAAAAGCUUUAUCGCUUCACUCCAGCUCUCUGUCCUUACAAUGCAAAAUUUACUUCUUGUUUUCCUCAUGCAAGUGAAAAUAUCACGUUGCUGUUAUUAUAUAUGUACUAAAUGUGUUUUAAAGCAAAUGAAAUGAAUUGAAUUCAUAAGGAGGUUUUUAUAAAAAUAUAAUUACACUGUGGCCAUGUGCAUUGGGUUUGUUGUUCUUUUGCAGGGAAUAAAAGGAACACACACACACAUCUGUAUUCAAAUCUGUAGCACUCUUUAUGUUACUUGGUUGUUUAUGGGGCCAUCUAGUGGUGUCAGACUGUAAACACAUUUCUAUUUAAAGAAGUGGUAAAGCACAUUUUUAUCCUGCUACUUCACAUAAAUGUUUAGAAUGAGUUCAGGUCUUUAAGUAUGCCCAAAUCCAUUAAGAGGGGGUGUAGAUAACAUUAAUUGAAAUAGGAAAUAGGAUAGACACAGCUGAAAAAGUGCUUUGUUAUUCAAAGAUACACGGCUAUCAAAUGAUGAAUGUCCAGAUACAGUUACAUACAAUGUUAAAUACAAUUGAGUAUUUGCAUUACCAGUAAAAACCUCAAAAGAA